GUGUAUGGCCAUGCUACCCUGAACGAGUCUGAUCCCAUCUGAUCUUGGAAGCUAAGUAGGGUCAUGCCUGGUUAGUACUUGGAUGGGAGACCACCUAGGAAGACCAGGUGCUGUAGGCA
RNAcentral lists this ribosomal RNA (119 nucleotides) under Pteropus alecto (black flying fox). The record is from RNAcentral. Lineage: Eukaryota; Metazoa; Chordata; Mammalia; Chiroptera; Pteropodidae.